GUGGUGUUUUCUUUUUGAAUUUCCCACAAGAGGAGAGGGAAUUAAUAAUACAUCUGCAAAGAAAUUUCGGAGAAGAAAAGUUGACCGCGGCAGAAUGAGGCAUUGAUUGGGGGAGAGAAGCCAGCAGAGGACAGUUGGAUUUGUGCCUAUGUUGACUAAAAUUGACGGAUAAUUGCAGUUGGAUUUUUAUUCAUCAACCUCGUUUCUCCCCCCACCCCCGCCUUUUUUUUUUCUUUUUGGUGUCAAGAUCAUGCGUUUUUCCGCUUGUUCUUAACCACCUGGAUAUCCAUCUGGAUGUUGCUGUGAUCAGUCUGAAAUACAAUUGGCAAACACACUGCCUGUUUACAGCACGGAGGCCACAAUGGAGAGCUAGAUUAUUUGAACUCCAGAAGGAC
RNAcentral lists this long non-coding RNA (395 nucleotides) under Bos mutus (wild yak). RNAcentral's name for it is "lncRNA (ENSBMUG00000019707.1)". Lineage: Eukaryota; Metazoa; Chordata; Mammalia; Artiodactyla; Bovidae. The record is from RNAcentral.